Molecule: ribosomal RNA, 253 nt
Filed under: uncultured bacterium
Lineage: Bacteria
Description: partial 16S ribosomal RNA
Rfam family: Bacterial small subunit ribosomal RNA
Source: RNAcentral
GACAGAGGUCCCGAGCGUUAGGCGGAAUCACUGGGCUUAAAGCGUGUGUAGGCGGAUGCCUAAGUACCUUGUGAAAUCCCACGGCUCACCCGUGGAACUGCUCGGUAUACUGGGUGUCUUGAGCCACUUAGGGGCUACCGGAACAAAUGGUGGAGCGGUGAAAUGCGUAGAUAUUGGGAAGAACACCGGUGGCGAAGGCGGCCAACUGGACCACAACUGACGCUGAGGCGCGAAAGCGUGGGGAGCAAACAGG